CAGGGGGGCGAAGCGUUGUUCGGAAUUACUGGGCGUAAAGGGCCAGUAGGCGGCCAACUAAGUCACACGUGAAAUCCUCAGGCUUAACCUGGGAACUGCGUGUGAGACUGGAUGGCUUGAAUUCGGGAGAGGGAUGCAGAAUUCCAGGUGUAGCGGUGAAAUGCGUAGAUAUCUGGAGGAAUACCGGUGGCGAAGGCGGCAUCCUGGACCGACAUUGACGCUGAACGGCGAAAGCUAGGGGAGCAAACGGGAUUAGAUACCCCGGUAGUCCUAGCCCUAAACGAUGAAUGCUUGGUGUGGCGGGUAUCGAUCCCUGCCGUGCCGAAGCUAACGCAUUAAGCAUUCCGCCUGGGGAGUACGGUCGCAAGGCUG
RNAcentral lists this ribosomal RNA (372 nucleotides) under uncultured organism. Its description in RNAcentral is "bacterial SSU rRNA". It matches the Rfam family "Bacterial small subunit ribosomal RNA", at positions 526 to 896 of the family's 1533-position model. The record is from RNAcentral.